Molecule: ribosomal RNA, 347 nt
Filed under: Athelia bombacina
Lineage: Eukaryota; Fungi; Basidiomycota; Agaricomycetes; Atheliales; Atheliaceae
Description: partial large subunit ribosomal RNA
Rfam family: Eukaryotic large subunit ribosomal RNA
Source: RNAcentral
UAAAUAUUGGCGAGAGACCGAUAGCGAACAAGUACCGUGAGGGAAAGAUGAAAAGAACUUUGGAAAGAGAGUUAAACAGUACGUGAAAUUGCUAAAAGGGAAACGCUUGAAGUCAGUCGCGUUGGCUGGAAAUCAACCUUGCUCUUGCUUGGUGUAUUUUCUAGUCGACGGGUCAACAUCAGUUUUGAUUGCUGGAUAAAGUGUGAGGGAAUGUGGCAUCUUCGGAUGUGUUAUAGCCCUUGCUCGUAUACAGCGGUUGGGACUGAGGAACUCAGCACGCCGCAAGGCCGGGUCUUCGGACUACGUUCGUGCUUAGGAUGUUGGCAUAAUGGCUUUAAUCGACCCGU